This 301-nucleotide ribosomal RNA is filed under the name uncultured bacterium. RNAcentral describes it as "partial 16S ribosomal RNA". It matches the Rfam family "Bacterial small subunit ribosomal RNA", at positions 509 to 807 of the family's 1533-position model. The record is from RNAcentral.
CAGUCGCCGCGGGAAUACAGAGGGUGCAAGCGUUAAUCGGAUUUACUGGGCGUAAAGGGCGCGUAGGUGGUUAUUUAAGUGAGAUGUGAAAUCCCCGGGCUUAACCUGGGAACUGCAUCUUAUACUGGGUAACUGGAGUGCAGUAGAGGGUAGUGGAAUUUCCGGUGUAGCGGUGAAAUGCGUAGAUAUCGGAAGGAACACCAGUGGCGAAGGCGGCUACCUGGACUGAGACUGACACUGAGGCGCGAGAGCGUGGGGAGCAAACAGGAUUAGAUACCCCCGUAGUCCCUGUCUCUUAUAC